Long non-coding RNA from Passer domesticus (house sparrow), 1243 nucleotides. RefSeq lists it as uncharacterized. Lineage: Eukaryota; Metazoa; Chordata; Aves; Passeriformes; Passeridae. The record is from RefSeq and is a predicted model, not a curated record. The transcript has 3 exons.
UGGUUACCAGUGAACACAGAACAGCAUCAUGGGAUCAUUAGGGUCCCUUCCAACCCCAGCCAUUCUAUGGCUCUGUGAUGUCUGGGACCACUCCUUUGUUUGACACCAAGUGCUCCAAGCUGAGAGCCCUCAGGACUUUUGAAGGAGUCACUCCAUUCCCAGUGGGAUGCAGAUGUCCAGUGCCAAGUGGACAGGUCAGAGUCUGCCCGUGUGUGGCUGCAGCGGGUCCUGUGCUCAUGCACCUGAUCGAGGAUUAUUACAGGUGACAGCAGAUUUGCAUGGAGGUGCAGCAUGUGGCCACCAUCCCACAUCUGGGCUCAGCAUCUGGGCUCACUCUGCCUGGGUUUUGUUUAUUUCUACAAAACCUCAGAGAUCUGGUUGUGCUCCUGACAGGAAUUUGGGUUUGCUUAAGAGGUGCAGGUGCCUGGCUCCCAACCAGCAGAGCUUUCUGGUCUUUCAGCUCUGGCUCUCUCUUCCCACUUCCCACCCUCCUGUCCCUUCACCUGUUUUAUUCUUGCUCUCUCCACACAAAAUCAUGUCUUCUCCAACCUGUACCAGUCCCUUUUUCCCAGGCUGUGAAGGGUUGACCAGAGAGAAGAUGCCAACAAGUUCAUUUAGGGCAGGAGACCUAUCCCACACAUGUUUUAUUUUAUUUUAUUUUAUUUUAUUUUGGGGCAUGGGGGACAAAGUACCAACCUCCACAUCCCACCCCACCAUCCCCAGCACAGGGAAUGCCUGAGCCUUAGGGUUUCCCUUCUGGAGGGACUGGCCAGGCCCUUGCCCAGCUGGCAGUGGCUGGAGCUGAGUCCCUGUCCCUUCCCAGGAGCAUCCAUGGCUCCUGCAUGUGUUAAUCAGCAGCUUUGUUCUGCAUCACCUCACCGUCUAAUAGCAGCAGGAAUUUAUACAUCCACAAAUGAGCAAUCAGCACAGACACGUCCUGGUGCCCUCCCUGGAAGGGGACAGGGAUAUGGAUGCUGGGGACACUCAGCUUGCCACGGCCUCUCCACCCUGCCAGCUGGGCUGUGCCGCCACCACUAACAAGUUGCUUCCUGCUGCCAAGGAUAACAGAGCCACUGGCACCCAACCCUGCACUCUGCUCUUGGCUGCCUCGGGAACCCCAGUCAGGCAGGAUGGGCUUUUUUUUUGCACUUGUCAUUUCUCAAGGAGGGAGGAACAUCUCUCCCAGCUGCUUCGGCUGAAAUCCAGUUUUUAUGUAAUCAAAUGUGACCUCUAGCUGUCUGUG